AGGUGGGAGGAUUGCUUGAGCCUGGGAGGUGGAGGUUGCAGUGAGCCAAGAUCGUGCCACUGCACUCCAGCCUGGGUGACAGAGUGACACCUUGUCUC
RNAcentral lists this microRNA precursor (98 nucleotides) under Rhinopithecus roxellana (golden snub-nosed monkey). Its description in RNAcentral is "miRNA (ENSRROG00000025883.1)". Lineage: Eukaryota; Metazoa; Chordata; Mammalia; Primates; Cercopithecidae. The record is from RNAcentral.